CAAACGGCCCUUUUUAGGGCCACCCACUCCAGUUCAAAAGUCAGAU
Molecule: non-coding RNA, 46 nt
Organism: Ixodes scapularis (black-legged tick)
Lineage: Eukaryota; Metazoa; Arthropoda; Arachnida; Ixodida; Ixodidae
Source: Rfam